GCGGGGGUUCCCGAGCCAGGUCAAAGGGGCAAGCCUGAGGCGCUUGUGCGCUAAGCGCUGCGUGGGUUCAAAUCCCACCCCCCGCA
This 86-nucleotide transfer RNA is filed under the name Thermoproteota archaeon. RNAcentral's name for it is "Crenarchaeota archaeon (hot springs metagenome) tRNA-Leu". It matches the Rfam family "tRNA". From Rfam's summary of the family: Transfer RNA (tRNA) molecules are approximately 80 nucleotides in length. Their secondary structure includes four short double-helical elements and three loops (D, anti-codon, and T loops). The record is from RNAcentral. Lineage: Archaea; Thermoproteati; Thermoproteota.